UACGUAGGGGGCGAGCGUUGUCCGGAAUUACUGGGCGUAAAGCGCAUGUAGGCGGGCGACUAAGUCAGGGGUGAAAACCGUGGGCUCAACCUACGGCUUGCCCUUGAUACUGGUCGUCUUGAGUACAGGAGAGGGAAGCGGAAUUCCCGGUGUAGCGGUGAAAUGCGUAGAUAUCGGGAGGAAUACCAGUGGCGAAGGCGCCCUUCUGGACGGUUACUGACGCUGAGACGCGAAAGCGUGGGGAGCAAACAGG
Molecule: ribosomal RNA, 253 nt
Filed under: uncultured microorganism
Description: partial 16S ribosomal RNA
Rfam family: Bacterial small subunit ribosomal RNA
Source: RNAcentral